Molecule: non-coding RNA, 46 nt
Organism: Schistosoma haematobium
Lineage: Eukaryota; Metazoa; Platyhelminthes; Trematoda; Strigeidida; Schistosomatidae
Source: Rfam
GCACUGUUGACGAGUCCCACAAUAGAACGAAACGACCGUUCAGUAC